AAAAUAUUCACCAUGUGUGGACUCGGUCUCGAUGAACCCUCUGUAACUCUCGCCCUCCGCAGAUUCUUUGGCUUGCGCAGAGACCAUGACAGCAUUGUCAACAUGGAUCCAGUAGAGAUCCAUGUAGGAGUGACUUCCUCCUCAUCUCGUGGAUAGUGGAUCUCCAGGACAGAGUUGAUCUCUGAAGGCUCCAGCGGUCGGGCAGUUGAGCGACCAUCUGGCCAGUACACUUCCACAUUGGUGGCCACAUCCUUACCUGGGCAGACAGACAGCGGCUGUGCUGCACUUUCACCAUGAGACACGAGCAGCUCCAGACGCCCGUCACCAUCAAAGUCUGUGGCUACAGCUCCUGGGGAUUCAUCACAGCAAUGAUGCAGCUAAACACUUGGGGAAACAACCUUCAUAAUGUUUGGCAUCUUCCUGUCUUACCUGAAGAGUCUGUUGGCAGACGGCCCUCUGUAGGCGAUGUUAUUGAAGAACACUUCAAGCUCGUUGUCAUUGUCAAAGUCCGCAGCGAUAACAGUUCGAACCGGGGAUGGCAUGGAAAACUUCUGGGAUGCAAUGUCCUGAGGGAAAAAGUAUAUCAGUGAAACACACACACACACAACCAAUGACAAAAGACAAACACAUGCAGGAAGAUGUAUGAAUCCCAAAACCCACCAGUGGCUUUAAUGGGGAAUGUUAUAUAUAUAUAUAUUUUUUUUAAAGAUUACAUUGCAGUAUUUUUAGCUAAAAACUGCAAAAAUAAAAUGAGAACUGUUGGAUUCUCAACUUUCUGAUAGUCACUGAAAUAAUCAAGUGUAACGUGCGGGUCUGAAAGGAAUACAAUAUAAGAUUAUAUUUCAAUAAAAAUGACUUUAUUCUACAUCAUGUUUAAAUAUUUGCCAGAAAAACACUGUCUGCUUUAGCAAGAUUUUGUAAGAAAGCUAAAAAAAAAAAAUCUGCACAAGUGAAAAGCCACCAACCAAUGAACCAGCAAUCACAUGACAAAAAUUCAGGGAUUAUUUCGCAGAACUGGGUUGAACUGCAGGUUGUGUUCACACAAAGCACACAACAAAUGAGCAUGGAAACAAAUGAAAAACAUACGUAAUUACCAUUACUGGCCACCAUUAUUUUGUCAGUAAUUGUAACAAGUGUGAGCACUUUGAAAAAUGUUGCACAUGUUGAUUCCAUUUCUUUUUUUUUAUUUUUGUAAAAUAAAAAAAUUGAAGAAUGCUAA
Acanthochromis polyacanthus (spiny chromis) is the source of this 1219-nucleotide long non-coding RNA. RefSeq lists it as uncharacterized. NCBI's taxonomy places the organism in Eukaryota, Metazoa, Chordata, Actinopteri, Pomacentridae. The record is from RefSeq and is a predicted model, not a curated record. The transcript is spliced from 4 exons.